AGGGUUUAAAGAUGGAUGGAAUGUUGCUAAGAGACAGGACAGCAACACAAGGUGACUCCAUGCACACUGGAACCUGGGACGGGAGGCAGUUAGAGAGGGGGGUGCAUGCAGGAGAGGUUCCCCAAGCAAACUUAGCCCACUUCCCACAUCCAAGCAGAGCCAGUGAGAGCCUCUCUCAGGAUUCUCAGCCUGAGGAAAGCAGUUCUGUGUACUUAGAUGGAAGAGAAAGCUGUAUCGGACCAGUGGCUCAAAAAAUAGUUUUAAGAACCCGAGUCUUACCCAUUUUCUCAUUACUGUGUUCUUCCAAUGCCAUUUAAAAAAAAAAUUCAACCUCCUGUCUAAAAACUUUUCCAAUUUACUCUUUUGAGGAAACUUUAUAUCCUGUGGAUCUCUGAUACUGUCCUCAGAUGCGCUUCUCAGAAAAUCUGUCCUGGUUUGCGAGGACUUUGGAACAACGAGAAACAAUGAACUACCUGGAGAAAAAUACCCACAGGCUCAGCACACCUACCAGCUUUUUGCUCAGAUGCCAAAGAAGAAAGGGAAAGAACAGACGAGGCACGAUAAACACAAUGGCGUGUGGUCCUGCUGCGUUUGUCUGAGGCCGCUCAACACUGAAAGUCAGUUCAUCUCCUCCCAGGAAGGAGUGCUUGUAAAUUGUAUCAAAAUGAUUCUGGACUCUCAGGCAGGCUGGUUGGCCUGGACUCCUGGAAGCAGUUAGAGAAGCACUCAUUUGUAAUGUCAUGUUGGUUUCUUAUUAUUUAAUAUGUCAGCCAAGGGAGAAAAUGCCCAGAUAUUUGUGCUCACAGCAGUGCAUGAUCUCUUCUUGUGUGAAGGAUUGUAAGAGGGAGAUGAUUACCUUGAAGUGCUUGAUUAGAAGAAAGAGUGCAUAUUUGUUAUCUGUGGCUCAUAACUAUGUUUUUGGUUGACUUUCUGCUGAUGUUUUUAAGCAUUCUACUCCACAUUAUUCCAGCUGUGUAGCUUCAGAUUUUAAUGGAAGCAGCACAGUUCAAAACACAUUUGAAAUGUAUUAGUGAUUAGAGAGCAACUUUAAAUUCUGUUUACCUAUGCAUUUUGGAAAUGUCUGAAAAAAAUAUCAUUUAUUGUCUGCAA
Molecule: long non-coding RNA, 1110 nt
Organism: Herpailurus yagouaroundi (jaguarundi)
Lineage: Eukaryota; Metazoa; Chordata; Mammalia; Carnivora; Felidae
Exons: 2
Source: RefSeq, a predicted model, not a curated record